This is a small nuclear RNA of Alosa alosa (allis shad), 193 nucleotides long. RefSeq annotates it as U2 spliceosomal RNA. The record is from RefSeq and is a predicted model, not a curated record. Lineage: Eukaryota; Metazoa; Chordata; Actinopteri; Clupeiformes; Clupeidae. The transcript has a single exon.
AUCCUUUUUGUUUCCUUUUGGCGAAUAAAGUCUACAAUACAAAAUAAAUCUGUUCUUAAUAUCUGAUACGUCCUCUACCCGAGGACCAUAUAUUAAUCUGAUUUUUGAAACAGGGAGACGGAAGAGGGGCUUGCUCCGUCCGCUCUACGCAUCAACCCGGUAUUGCAGUGACUCCAGGAACGGUGCACAUCUC